GAGUUUGAUCCUGGCUCAGAACGAACGCUGGCGGCGUGGAUAAGACAUGCAAGUCGAACGGGAUUUUAUUUGUAGCAAUACACGUAAAGUCUAGUGGCGUAAGGGUGCGUAACACGUGGGGAAUCUGCCGAGAAGUGGGGGAUAGCUCGUCGAAAGGCGAAUUAAUACCGCAUGUGGUUAGUGAAGACAUCUUCACGAUACCAAAGCCGGGGUAACCUGGCGCUUCUUGAUGACCCCGCGGCCUAUCAGCUAGUUGGUGAGGUAACGGCUCACCAAGGCUAUGACGGGUAGCUGGUCUGAGAGGACGACCAGCCACACUGGAACUGAGACACGGUCCAGACACCUACGGGUGGCAGCAGUCGAGAAUUUUUCUCAAUGGGGGAAACCCUGAAGGAGCGACGCCGCGUGGAGGAUGAAGGUCUUCGGAUUGUAAACUCCUGUCAUUUGGGAACAAGUUGCAUCGGUUAACUGCCGAUGCAUUGAUAGUACCAGAAGAGGAAGAGACGGCUAACUCUGUGCCAGCAGCCGCGGUAAUACAGAGGUCUCAAGCGUUGUUCGGAUUCAUUGGGCGUAAAGGGUGCGUAGGUGGCGGGGUAAGUCUGGUGUGAAAUCUCGGGGCUCAACCCCGAAACUGCACUGGAUACUGCCUUGCUCGAGUACUGGAGAGGAGAUUGGAAUUUACGGUGUAGCAGUGAAAUGCGUAGAUAUCGUAAGGAAGACCAGUGGCGAAGGCGAAUCUCUGGACAGUUACUGACACUGAGGCACGAAGGCCAGGGGAGCAAACGGGAUUAGAUACCCCGGUAGUCCUGGCAGUAAACGGUGCGCGUUUGGUGUGGGAGGAUUCGACCCCUUCUGUGCCGGAGCUAACGCGUUAAACGCGCCGCCUGGGGAGUACGGUCGCAAGAUUAAAACUCAAAGAAAUUGACGGGGGCCCGCACAAGCGGUGGAGU
Molecule: ribosomal RNA, 950 nt
Filed under: uncultured Verrucomicrobiota bacterium
Lineage: Bacteria; Pseudomonadati; Verrucomicrobiota
Description: bacterial SSU rRNA
Rfam family: Bacterial small subunit ribosomal RNA
Source: RNAcentral